This 341-nucleotide long non-coding RNA is filed under the name Homo sapiens (human). RNAcentral describes it as "non-protein coding lnc-LHX8-1:2". The record is from RNAcentral. Lineage: Eukaryota; Metazoa; Chordata; Mammalia; Primates; Hominidae.
GGCUGAGACUCGGCUACUUGUUACAAGAGCACUUCCAAUCUCUGUACACAUCCAGGACUGUGUCUGCUUUUACGUCGAUGUAGAAGAUAAAGGAAGCUGACUUCAAGACAACUGCCCUUCCUAAUAAUGAUGAUGGGAUUUGGUUGAGUCACAUGCUACACUCAUAUUGCCUCUAACUCCCCCAGGAUUUAUAUUCCUCGAAACUACAUACACCGUCAUAUGUUCAUAGUGUAAUUUUGUCAUUUCUACACUUUGUGUCCGUUCCUGUUCUAUAUCUUAAUAAUUUCUGGAAGACACUCUCUACUUUCUUAUUAAAAGUAAAUAUAUUUGGCCCAAAAAAA